AGAUUGAACGCUGGCGGCAUGCUUUACACAUGCAAGUCGAACGGUAACGCGGGGGCAACCCGGGCGACGAGUGGCGAACGGGUGAGUAAUACAUCGGAACAUGUCCUGGAGUGGGGGACAGCUCGGCGAAAGCCGGAUUAAUACCGCAUACGCUCUGAGGAGGAAAGCGGGGGACUCGUAAGGGCCUCGCGCUGCAGGAGUGGCCGAUGUCGGAUUAGCUAGUUGGUGAGGUAAAGGCUCACCAAGGCGACGAUCCGUAGCUGGUCUGAGAGGAUGAUCAGCCACACUGGGACUGAGACACGGCCCAGACUCCUACGGGAGGCAGCAGUGGGGGAAUUUGGACAAAUGGGGGCAACCCUGAUCCAGCCAUGCGCGUGAGUGAAGAAGGCCUUCGGGUUGUAAA
Molecule: ribosomal RNA, 403 nt
Filed under: uncultured soil bacterium
Lineage: Bacteria
Description: bacterial SSU rRNA
Rfam family: Bacterial small subunit ribosomal RNA
Source: RNAcentral